ACAAGCAAGCUUGCACUCCGACAGCAGGAGAGCCUCAUGCACAUUGACCUGAAAACCCAGGCAGUGUCUGCUCUGAAAACAAAGACAGCUGCAGUCUGUUACAGCCUAUGUAAAUUAAGUGAAAUCUUAGCUUGAAGUGGUGAUAAUGUGGUCUGCAGCUAAGCAUAAGGCAUUCUUCAGAAACAAAGCAGGCACUGGGACAUACUGCUUUUUGAUUUCCAGAAGACACCAAUGCAUGACAUUCAUGUGAGCCCCUCUUCUGUUCCCUAGCCCUGCUUUGAAAUAUUGUAAGCCAUUAAACUUCCCACUUGAGCAGGUUUUUUAUAAUUGGCAUCAUGUGUGUGUUACUGCUUCCUGAAAAAUGCAGCUUUUCAGCAAUGUCUUCUGAUAGAGUAGAAGUUUUUAGAAAUCUUAAACUUAGCUUUUCUCAGAAUAAUUCCAGGUAUAAAAACCUCUGAGUUUGUCAUUGCCUUUCUUGAUGUUUUGAGUAGAUUGUGUAAUCAGUAACUGUGUAAACUGCAGAGGUUAAUCGUUCACUCUGAUAUCUAGAAGUCAGGCAGGGGGUACGUGAAUAAUUUUUUGUCAUGGUUGAACCUGCAGUUAUUUGGUUUCUCUGUUUACAUUUACUGGGGCUUCAGUUCAUGCUCUGGUGCCUGGAGACGUGAAUCAGAGCCUUGUUAUUAUAAACCAGAACAAAUAACUAAAUGGCGCUGCUCUCUUUGUGAUAUAUGCUCCACGGUUGAGCUCAGUCUGAAUCUCUUGAUCUUCUCAACCCAUACUGUUGCAGAAACUGUUGUCAUCACCUUCCCAAAAAUCACACAGGACCAACAUCCUUCAUCUUUUCAGUCCCUACAAGUUGAAUUCUGUGUCUUCAUGGGCUGCUUUUAAAAGCUGCAAUGGCUCAUAUAUCUAUGAGGAUCCUCAGCUCACUCCACAUACUUACAGUCUCAACAAGGAGGAGGAAAAUACUCUGAGGAACUUCAGUUUCUAAAGAAUUGCAUGUCUUCCUGGACUCAGAAAUUUCAAGAGGCAAGAACGUCAUCCCAUGCUGAAUUUAAGCCAUACUUGGCAUCAUCAGGAGACCAUGGGCUCAGCUGCAGACUCUCCUGAGGCUUAUGCGUGGUACAUGAACUCAAAUAGUAAUUCCCACUCCUUCCUGGCCAUGCAUUGUGCACAAAAGAGGGGAAGAAGCAGGAGCAUCAUUUGCCCUAAGGCAACACUGAGAAGCUCUUACUGUUUGAAGAUGAGGUCAUGAUUGUAGUGGCACAGUUAUUUGCUUCCUAAUGACCCAAGAACUCACUACAAAUAAAAAUAUAAGGAACAACUCUUCCCUUUAUGUGUCUUGCUGAGAGAAUGCUGAUUGCAUCUCAGGAAAUUGUGUUUUUAGGUUAAAAUAAGGUCAUUACUAAGACGUUUUUGCUUGUUUCAGGCCUGGCCUUGUAAUGUCACCUCAGUGAGUUAGUGUAGUUCUACUAAAACAAAGGAGGAGCCUCCUGUUAUUUAAGUGUGGAGCAGUAUGGUUGGAUUUGUUUAUUUUUUUACUGUUUUAUUGAAUUUCUUUGUUUGGGAGAGCAAAGGGAAUGGAUAAAUCUGUGGGCAUCACUGCUGUCUCAACUACCAAACCAUGCUCAGGCAGAUCCAGUGCCACAUCAUUUGUUGGCAUCAUUGUUGUCAACAUAAUUAACACAUUCACAAUUUAAAAAUGAGUGAAAAAGGUGUCAGGUGUUUUUUGUUGUUUUUGUUUUGGUUUGGUUUGUUGGUUUUUUUUGUUUUAGUUUGGUUUUUGUUUUUUGUU
Molecule: long non-coding RNA, 1795 nt
Organism: Coturnix japonica (Japanese quail)
Lineage: Eukaryota; Metazoa; Chordata; Aves; Galliformes; Phasianidae
Source: RefSeq, a predicted model, not a curated record